Molecule: ribosomal RNA, 465 nt
Filed under: uncultured bacterium
Lineage: Bacteria
Description: partial 16S ribosomal RNA
Rfam family: Bacterial small subunit ribosomal RNA
Source: RNAcentral
ACGCACGCUGGCGGCGUGCUUAACACCUGCAAGUCGCACGGAAAGGCCUCUUUCGGGGGGUACUCGAGUGGCGAACGGGUGAGUAACACGUGAGUAACCUGCCCUUGACUUUGGGAUAACUUCAGGAAACUGGGGCUAAUACCGGAUAGGAGCUCCUGCUGCAUGGUGGGGGCUGGAAAGAUUCGGCGGCUGGGGCUGGACUCGCGGCUUAUCAGCUUGUUGGUGGGGUAGUGGCUUACCAAGGCUUUGACGGGUAGCCGGCCUGAGAGGGUGACCGGCCACAUUGGGACUGAUAUACGGCCCAGACUCCUACGGGCGGCAGCAGUGGGGAAUUUUGCACAAUGGGGGGAAGCCUGAUGCAGCAACGCCGUGUGCGAGAUGACGGCCUUCGUGUUGUAACCCUCUUUCGCUCAUGACGAAGCGUUCUGUGACGGUAGUUGGUAAAGAAGCACCGCCUAACUACGU